This 3779-nucleotide long non-coding RNA is filed under the name Anas zonorhyncha (Eastern spot-billed duck). RNAcentral describes it as "lncRNA (ENSAZOG00000016211.1)". Lineage: Eukaryota; Metazoa; Chordata; Aves; Anseriformes; Anatidae. The record is from RNAcentral.
AUGGCUGGGCACAGAGGAGGGCUGAUCCUGCCCCUGCUGCUGCUGCUGAGCCUCGCCGUGCCCGAGCUGGUGCUGGGGACCACAGCCACAAAGGCUUCGGUGACCUCAGCUCCCUCCACCUCCCUGACACCCGUGGAGACCCCGACGCUGCUGCCCACCACCGACACAGCCUCGGUGCCUCCCUCCAGCCCAGAAACGGGAGCCUCCACCCCAGAGACACCCAGCGUGCCGACGGCUGCCUCCACGAGCAGCACCCUGGCAGCCCCCAGCAGCCCCCCGUUGGAGGUGAGUGGCAGCGUGGGCUCUCCCGCCAGCACCACGCUGCACCCUAAUGCCACCAGCACCGCUGCCACCAUGUCCCCAAGCCCGACCUCCGCAGCCACGCCACCCACCCAGCCUGAGGUGACAACAGGCACAUCGCUGGGGACCAGCGUGUCCCCAGCUCCGAGCACCAGCUCGGCAGGAGCUGCACCAAGCACGCCCCCCACCCUCCCCUCCACCUCUCUCCCCUCCACCUCGGUGGUCACCACGAGCACCAGCAAAGGACCAGCGGCGACCACAGCGCUCAGCACCACCCCCCCGGGGAGCAGCAGUCCUGAUCCCAUCACACCAACCGAGCCCAACACAACCCCGCCGGACCCCACAACACCUCCAGACCCCACAACGCCUCUGGACACCGCAACCCCCUCCCGCCCCAGCACCGGGGGCCCUGGGAGCAAUUCAACCCCCAGCCAGCCCCCAGGGACCACCAACGGGACCGCGGGGACACCCCCGGACACCCCCCAGAGCCCCGCUGCUAGCACCGCAGAGACCACGGCGCUGCCGCCCACCGCCGCCUCCACCGGCACAGCCUCCAGCCCUGAAAAAGGAUCCUCCACUCCCGAGACACCCAGCACACCCCCGGGGAGCAGCCGUCCCUCUCCUCCCACCACAGCCCCACACACGGGUACAUCAGCCGAGCCCCCGACAUCCCCUCUGGACACCACAGCCCCGCACCCCACCAGCUCUGGGGUGCCCGGGAGCACCCCAAAUCCCAGCCAGACACUGGGGACCACAAACGGGACCAGCCCUGGUGCCUCCACCCUGACCACGGGGACAGCCCCGGACACCCAGGCGUCACCCCCCAGCCCCGGUGCCACCACGGGUGAGUGUGGCUGAGGGGUGAAGGGUGGGUCUUCCCCAGGUUUAGGACCCUCUGGCUAGCUAACUAACUCCACGUUGCUUUGCCCAGGCACCUCCCCUGCCACCAACUCAACCCAGAGCCCAAACAACAUCUCCAGCACCUCCACGGCCCAGCCGACGGCAGAGCCCACCUGCCCCGGCAUCAUGAGCCCAGGCGGUAAGUGCCACCUCCUGGGACCCCAAACUCUUCUCUGAAGCCUUUAUGGAAGAGCCACACGUGUCCCAUGGGCAUGGUGGUGGCCUUUUGGGGUCCUGCAGCCCCCCUGUUCUCAGCCUGGGGGCACCGGAGGUGUGCGGGGUGUGUGGUUUGCUGUGCGCACAGGGGGUGGCGCAGAGCAGGGUGGGGGGCACAGAGCAGGGUGGGGGGCACGCCUGAGCCUGCUCAGCCCUGGUUGUGGUGCUGGGGAGAGACCCCAGGUGUGGGGUGGGAGGGGAACCAGCAGAGCUGUGUCUUCUGCUCCCAGCGGAGUCCCACAUCUUCCUGUCCGUGCGCCUGGCCGGCCCCCUGGACCCUGAGAACAAAACCAUGCAGGACCUGAUCCUGUCCGAGGUGAGGUGUGCCCGCAGCCCUUCCCAAGGGGCUCUCCCCUUUGUCUGGGUGGGGACAGGGGGCAGGAGACCCCCUCUGGGACCCCCCCUCAAUGCUGUGGGGUGUCACGGCUGUCCUCUGCCCCCAGCUCCGCCACAGGCUGCAGGUCAAGUUCCCGCAGGCUGACUUCACCAUGCGGUGGAGUGGGAAGAAACCCUGAGCGCUGCCCCACGCUGCAGCCCCCCAGCCGCCCGUGGCACCGAGGAAGACGAGGAAGGAGCCCCUGCAGCCCGCUGUCAGCCCCUGUGUGCUCCGAAAUCAGCAGAUUUCAGGACCUGACCGGCUGCGGGGGCACAGCCGGUGGGUCCCACGUCACUGCUGUGCUCCCCCCCCGGCUGCGUGCGCCGUGGGGCUGUGGAAAUCCCGUGGGUUGAAAUCCUGCCCUGUUUUUUUUUCUUUUCUUUUUUUUUUUUUCCCCAGUCUCUGGUUAAGGAGACGGCCGCGGCGUCGAUCCCCCUGCAGCGAAGUCAUUUAUUAACUGAUUAAUUAGGCAGAUAAAAUCAGGCCGAAGCAGUUAUUACCCUAAGCAAGUCACCUCGUGGAGAGAUUAAAAAGUGAAAUAAUCACCCAAAUGGCUGUGUUGUUCCUGCGGGGGGAGGGAUUUUUGGCUGAGCCCUUCCUGCAGCCCCUGUCCCACCGAGGGAAGGGGCGUUUGGGGCUGCAGACACCAAACCUGGGGACUGCUCCCAGGCAGCUGAGCUGUCACCCAGCAGCCAGGAGGGACACGAAGCCACCUCGAAGCCACCCAGCUCAUAGGGUCUGGGCAAUGGGGGAGGCUCAGUGGGGUCUGGAGCCCCGAGAGCUCACCAGGGUGCUGCGAUUUGGGCAGGAUCUGUCCCCAACCCGCUGCUGGCUCCUCUCAUUUUGCUCUGUGCGAGUCGCAGGCCGGGCUGGGACAGGGAGGGGGCACAAAUGGGGACAUAAAAACACAUCCCCCUGCGGUCAUACGGUGACCCUGCUGAUGGUGACCCCAAUUCUGGGAGAGAGAGGAUGGGGACUGCCUGGCCCUGAGGCUCUGGGCUGUGUCACCUGCUGCUGGCCACCAACCUGGAGGUUCUCCUCCUCCAGGACCUGCACACGUUUCCCAAAGGGAAAAGCAGCCUGCAGGAGCACACCCCAAUUCCCCAGGGAGCUGUUUCCUGGCUUUUUGGGGGCUUUUUUUUUUUUUUGAGCCCUUAGCACAGCGCUGCUCCUGCUGCAGCGGGGUGCAGAGCAAGGGGAACCCGGGCAGAGCCUGCUGGAUGGGGUCCCCGCUCCCCACGCCUUGUAGGGCACGGGGGAAAUCAUCCUCGUGCUCUGCCCACGCCGUGGCACCGGGCCAGGAGCCCUCCCACGCCGAGUCCCACCGGGCUGAUCCUGCCGGCUGUUGAAUCCAUAACUUCAGACCCCGGGACGUGGCGCGGGGCCAAGGCCGGCAGACGGCAGCCAAAGUGCGUCACAAAGGGAGGAAAAAGGUCCCCAAGUGCUGGGAUGAAAAGGUGACCGGGGCACUUACCAUCCCCGUCCGGCACAGCUGCCUUCGUGGCAGGGGGAGGAGAUGCUCCGGGGGUGGCCGAGCCCCCCCUGCCCUCAGCCUGGGACGGAGCAGAGGGGACCUGGUUGUGAUGGGGGUGCUGUGAUCCCAAAAUGGGGACACGGAGCUGUGACAGGCUCCCAGCCCUGCCCAGCACGGCUGAAUGCUUGCUGGGCUCUGGGUGCAGCCCUCCCAGAGCCCCCGCUCGCAGCUGGGGGAAGGUGAUGGGAGCCAGCUGUGCCUGGAGCACCAGUCCUGUGGUUCCCAGUUUGAAUUUUUCCCACCUUCCACUUCCCAACAUAGACAUCUUUAGGGGUUUCUCCUCCGUGCUGUGGAGCCUCCCCACCAGGACGGGGUUUUGCCACCAUCACCUCGCUGGGAUGAGCUGAGUAGAUGAGACAGGGACGUUGCUCGCAGUGAGGGGCUCUUCCAGCCCUCAAACCAUCCCUCACCCUCCUGCUGUAACCUAUUUCCCUCCAUCAGCAUCACCCCUGG